Podarcis lilfordi (Lilford's wall lizard) is the source of this 74-nucleotide non-coding RNA. NCBI's taxonomy places the organism in Eukaryota, Metazoa, Chordata, Lepidosauria, Squamata, Lacertidae. The record is from the annotation of a GenBank genome assembly.
UCCUGGGAUAGCUCAGUCGGUAGCGCAUGAGACUCUUAAUCUCAGGGUUGUGGGUUCAAGUCCCGCACUGGGCA